This 247-nucleotide ribosomal RNA is filed under the name uncultured bacterium. RNAcentral describes it as "partial 16S ribosomal RNA". It matches the Rfam family "Bacterial small subunit ribosomal RNA", at positions 523 to 769 of the family's 1533-position model. The record is from RNAcentral.
AUACGGAAGGUCCAGGCGUUAUCCGGAUUUAUUGGGUUUAAAGGGAGCGUAGGCCGUCUGUUAAGCGUGUUGUGAAAUGUAGAUGCUCAACAUCUGAAUUGCAGCGCGAACUGGCAGACUUGAGUGUGCGCAACGUAGGCGGAAUUCGUGGUGUAGCGGUGAAAUGCUUAGAUAUGACACAGAACACCGAUUGCGAAGGCAGCUUGCUGGAAUGUAACUGACGCUGAGGCACGAAAGCGUGGGGAUC